GACGAACGCUGGCGGCGUGCUUAACACAUGCAAGUCGAACGGAAAGGCCCUGCUUUUGUGGGGUGCUCGAGUGGCGAACGGGUGAGUAACACGUGAGUAACCUGCCCUUGACUUUGGGAUAACUUCAGGAAACUGGGGCUAAUACCGGAUAGGAGCUCCUGCUGCAUGGUGGGGGUUGGAAAGUUUCGGCGGUUGGGGAUGGACUCGCGGCUUAUCAGCUUGUUGGUGGGGUAGUGGCUUACCAAGGCUUUGACGGGUAGCCGGCCUGAGAGGGUGACCGGCCACAUUGGGCCUGAGGUACGGCCCAGACUCCUACGGGAGGCAGCGGUGGGGAAUAUUGCACAAUGGGCGGGAGCCUGAUGCAGCGACGCCGCGUGCGGGAUGACGGCCUUCGGGUUGUAAACCGCUUUCGCCUGUGACGAAGCGUGAGUGACGGUAAUGGGUAAAGAAGCACCGGCUAACUACGUG
Molecule: ribosomal RNA, 468 nt
Filed under: uncultured bacterium
Lineage: Bacteria
Description: partial 16S ribosomal RNA
Rfam family: Bacterial small subunit ribosomal RNA
Source: RNAcentral